UACCGCUUCUGCUUUGUUAUUCUUAAUAUUGCCUUACCUGACUGAAGUCUGACAGAGGCUUACCUGAGGGAAUGUGGAGGAGUUCUGCUGACACUAAACGGAUCACAGGAGCAGCUCGCUACACGCCUUCCUGUUGGAGACAUCACCGCAUAGCUAUGCAGAGCGAGAGACCGCAGGCACCGUCAUGUUUCAAGGACUUUCAGCCAGAACAAUGGAGGAAUAUGGAGCUACUCCUAGACUUGUGUUAACCCCUUUGAGUACUUUGGUGAAAAUACAACUAGAUCCAGCAAGUCUUCAUCAGGUUCCCUGGUCCUUCACAGCUGUGUUUUGAUUUAGCCACACCUGGUUCCCACGCCACUCAUCAAUCCUCUUCCCUGCAGUUCCUUCCCUCUUUGCCAGGGUUGGGCUUUAGUACUCCAGGUCAAAGGCUGGCAUCACACAGCAUAUGAAGACAAUAACGCAUCAGAUUGUGGGCAGAAGAAGAAGAAACAACCCUGAUAAUAUGUCAUAAAUAAAUACGACGGUGUAUGAACCGGCUCGUUAUGAACUAUGAAAACUACGUAUGUCUGAGUGGAACGUGGACAUUUGGCUAUAAAUAUGAAUACGGGUUAUGUGUAUGUUUGCUCUUUACAUCUCGGAAGAUAACCUGAGCAGGAACUCAACUUUGAACUUACUACCGUUUGCUUCAAUCAGAUUUUAGGAUCUAUUUGUUGAGACACAGCGACGGUUUGAGCCGAUUCCUUUUUUGUCCAAUAAUAUUUGUCCAAUUAUAAGCACAAGUGGCUAUAAUGAAAAAAAGUCUAAUGUUUUGCCAACAUUACCGGAAUACUUUUAUGAACGAUCACCCAGACUCUGACUACUUUGGUAAAGUAGGAUCCUCUGAUCUGGAAUUGAUUUAUGUCCAAACUAAUUUAUUCAAAAAGGGGCAGGGAUAUGAACAGAUGGACACUAGAUGGGGCUGGAGCACAUCUAGCACGUCUAUCCUUUUUCCUCUGGACAAAAAUCGUGCCCUUCUAAAAUCUUUUUUUUUUUUCUUUUUGCACAGUGCAGUAUGUGUCUGUAUCAUAAACCUGCUCUGGUUCAAAGGCCAAAUGAAGCAUCAGGUCACUAUUAUUUUUAAUUUGCCAAUUUAAUUUGUACACAAAGAAUGUGAUUUUAGAAUUCCAAGUGUUAUAAAAAAAAAUAACGCUGAUCUAUUUCAAUCCAAGCACUUAAAUGAAAGUAUGUGACACUCUCAAAAUUAGACAAUUUCAGUACUGUGUGGAAUUAUCAUUAUAGCCCGAAUGCUAUUUAGGCAGUUAAGGUUCUCCAUGUUGUAAAAACUCCAGUAAAAAAAAAAAAAAAGUUUUAGUCUGGAAGCGUGUGUAAUCCUGAAAUUAAAAACGAGUAGGAAACCUCGAUUAGCUCAGUAUGAAUCCCCAUGUGCAAAAUCUAACAUUAACAAAGAUGUUUGCACACAUACAAACAUGGUCACAACUGAAUAAGCAAACAUACACACUGAGCUGGAUUUUUCCUGCUUCAUUGUCCCUCCAUCCGUCAUUUUACCAAGUAGUAAUUGAAAACACAUCUCCCCGAGCCCCUGGCACCCACUACAAAUACAGCUCACCGGGCCUUUUUUUCCCCUCGCAAAAUAAAGCGCAAUAACAAAUAGAGUCGAAACAACCAAAAACAGAGGAUGCACGCUGUAGUUUUUGGCACAAGAUGAAGAGAAUGUGUUCCAGGUUCUUGGUGGAGAGCCAAAUCCAUUAUGCUAGAUUGGGGGGGGGGGGGGAAGAAAUAUACAUUUCCCUGACAAAUGGAUGAAGCACUUGUCCCUGACCGAAUAAUAAAUCGUUAAGAGUCUGAGUUGAAGUCUAAAAGUCUAUUUGUUCAGCAUGUCCAAUACUCUGGUUUCAAUGACAUUUUCAAAGCGAAGUGCACAGACAGACCAAAUGGAAAUGGGAAUAAACAAUAGACAGAUUGUGGAU
Long non-coding RNA from Poecilia reticulata (guppy), 1967 nucleotides. RefSeq lists it as uncharacterized. The record is from RefSeq and is a predicted model, not a curated record. NCBI's taxonomy places the organism in Eukaryota, Metazoa, Chordata, Actinopteri, Cyprinodontiformes, Poeciliidae.